CGGGAACCUAGCGGCGGGGAGGAAGCGCGGAGCUGUGUUUUGAAUUAAUGGGUUCAGCUUCAUUUUGAGUACAAGUGGGAGGCUAUUUUAGAAAAACCUUCCCAGGCCAGCCGGCACUGAUGUGGCAAACUCAGCCUCCGAGCAGACAGUCUCGAAAUAGAAACGUCUCCGCGUCUCGAUGGCGCACGCCUGGGCCUCCCCUUCAAAGAGCGCGGCCCCGCACGACCCUUUUGUCCCUAGGCCCCGCAGCCCUUUGUGAUGUGCCCGCCUCGCUCCCAACCGAGCUGGAUGGAGGCGUCCCAUCCGCAGCAGCUGAAAGGAGGUGCCCAGAGGGAGCGAGAUCCCCCGGAAACGUGAUAAGGGGAAGGAUGCGAGACGGCUGCGGUCGGUCGACAUGAGCGUCCAGCGCCUCGCUCCCCAGUGCUUUAAGAGAUAGUAAGAAGAAAAGAGAUUAAGACGUUAAGUUGGGAGCUUUAGACUUUGGACAUUUGAGAAGCCUACGAAAUGGACCAAAAGCUGCUUCUGUUGUCUGGUUUCCUUCCGACUUGGCCUUCUGUGGAGAAGCACUUUCUUCUGUUUUGUGGUAGAUUUUGAAUUAAAAAAAAUUCUCAAUAGGCGAGCGAUCUCCCAUUUUCUGGGAACAGCUUUGAUCCGUAUUUGCAUAUUGCAGAGGGACAAACCUGCCCCUUUCCAGUUCUCUCCGACUCCCCUUAAGAUCCUUAACCCUUAAGUGCGUUUAAAGAUCCUCUUAAACCGGGCCACCAGAGGCCUUCCCUCUGGAGUGUGAGGUCUUUGUCGUAAGGAAACAGAAAUAGAUUGUGGUCAAAAUGCGCUCAGGUAAAUCCGUCAUAAAAAGCAGUUCAGUCAGACGUUUGUGGACUGCGGCAGUGUGCAGGAUUUGACAUCAGGUGAAGAAGCCAAGAGGCAGGCCUAGGAGUGGUGAGCCAGCGCUGCAGUCCAAACCAGGCCUCCAUGGACCGGCGUCUCAGGGCCAAUUCCACAGGAAAUGCUUUUUCUUGUGCCACAUAUUGUAGUUGGAAGACAAUUUCAGGUUUUUUUUCCCCAGGGCGGCACAUUAAUAUGAGGAUAUUUGGAAUCCUUCAUGAGGGAGCACGAUUUCAGAAAUAAUGAAACAAUAAGCACGAAUCUGGUAUUAAUAAUCUGCGGGUUUUAAAUUUUAUGCCAUUAAAAGAUGUAAGGAUUAGUAAUUUCAUGUAUCCUACAAAGUAGAACACGCCUAAGGACACACGGCUAAAUGAUUCACGUGGAGCUCGAACAUCUGACAUGAGACGCUCAGGCACACGGGUUGAGUUCGUGGUGCUCACAGCCUCCAUUACGAUAAUAAGUCAUUAAUUUGAGCCCCACAAAGCCAGAUUUGAGAAUGAAUCAGGUUGAAAAGAUGUGCGGCUGAAGCUUACAUCUGUACAUUUGACAGACUUUGCUAAGAAAACUGAGAAUCGCCCAUAGCUGACGAAAGGGUGAUCAAAGAGAACACACACCACUUGAAAAGCGCCAGAUGCAGAUAAACCAUCGCGAGGCUCCGUGUAAUUCACGUAACCUUGGCAUCAGAGCAGGCUUCCCAUGGCCCGACAGAGCAACAUUUUAUUAGCUGCAGUAUACUCUAGGAAGGAUGCAAGAGCUGCCUUUCUGGUCAGGUAUCUUCUCUCCAGAGUCUCUGAGUGAACUCAGAUCUUUCUCUACCCAUUCAUCUUUUAUAAAGGUCACAACUGGAAUAAAACUAUGCGAAGAGAUCUUUUAAUGCAGGUGCUCAAGUUAAGGUGCUCCGUGGUCUUGGUUCAAGAGAGAAGGUUUUCUUUCCACAAGCAGACCAACCACUUCUGCGAGAGACCCUCCAGGCUGCAGCUGUCCAGCUCGUCCUCAGCGUCCGCCAACCCUUCUCUCCACAGCGUUGGCCUUUGCAAGUGCCUCUCUGAUUGCGAAGGAUGAAGGUGAUGAAUGUGGCUGCGACAUUUCAGAUCUUGUACUUCAAUCAAUUUACCCAUAGUCAUGCGUCACUUAACGACGAGGAUACUGCCUGAGAAAUGCGUCGAUAGGCCAUUUCGUCGCUGUGCGCACGUCAGAGUGACUUACACAAACCUAGAUGGUAUAGCCUACUACACACCAGGCUAUAUGGUACUAGUCUUAUGGGACCACGGUCAUAUAUGCAGUCCUUUGUUGACUGAAGCAUCAUUAUGCGGCCAGAGGAUCACAUAUUACUUCAGUGACUUUCAACACCAGAAAAAUCCAGAAAUUUAUAUAAAAAUUAUCAUUAUAUGCCUAGAGCCCUUGUCUUGCUGAUAGGGCUUUCUACAGCAAGUCUGAGGACAGAUUUCAGAGAAAAUCAAUCCAACUUUCAACCUAAGGAGGCCAGUGGUUGCAUCUCCUGUUACCUACUGAGCCCAAUAUCAAAUCCUAGAGAGUUGCACCCAGUCUUAGAUACAAUGCCUCUUUCCAAGCUGUUAAGGAUCUAGUUGCAGAGACAAGACAUAAAUGACUCUGCAUAGACUGACCAUAAAGGCCAUAUUUAAUACCAGGUUACAAAGACCGUUCAAAGUUAAUAACCAAAUGUACUAUGCCAAAAGACCUUUAUCCUUUUGUCAUGUUGUCCUAUUAUGUUGGACAAGAGAAUUUGAGAGGUUUUCCCUUGGAUCUACUGCCAUGGGGAAAAAAUAUUAUGCUUGCUAUUCACUUGGUGCAGUGGUUAAUUUUAUAUGUCAGUUUGACUGGGCUGAGUGAUGCCAAGAGGGCUGGUAAAACAUUAUAUCUGGGUGUGUCUGUAAAGGUAUUCGUAGAAGAGCUUAGCAUUUGAAUCGGGAGACGUGUAGAAGAUGGCCCUCACCAACAGGGUGGGCAUCAUUCCAUUCACUGAGGGCCUGACGAGAACAAAAAGGCAGAGAAAGGGCC
RNAcentral lists this long non-coding RNA (2904 nucleotides) under Equus caballus (horse). RNAcentral describes it as "lncRNA (ENSECAG00000054690.1)". Lineage: Eukaryota; Metazoa; Chordata; Mammalia; Perissodactyla; Equidae. The record is from RNAcentral.